ACGUACCGCAAGUACGUUCCGGUUGCUGCGCUCCGUCCGCCUCGCCUGAAGGCCGCUCGCUACGCCUUUGAGUG
RNAcentral lists this small RNA (74 nucleotides) under Acidovorax temperans. RNAcentral's name for it is "sX9 sRNA". It matches the Rfam family "Xanthomonas sRNA sX9". Lineage: Bacteria; Pseudomonadati; Pseudomonadota; Betaproteobacteria; Burkholderiales; Comamonadaceae. The record is from RNAcentral.